RNAcentral lists this ribosomal RNA (497 nucleotides) under uncultured bacterium. RNAcentral's name for it is "partial 16S ribosomal RNA". It matches the Rfam family "Bacterial small subunit ribosomal RNA", at positions 28 to 507 of the family's 1533-position model. The record is from RNAcentral.
GAUGAACGCUGGCGGCGUGCCUAAUACAUGCAAGUCGAGCGAACAGACGAGAAGCUUGCUCCUCUGAUGUUAGCGGCGGACGGGUGAGUAACACGUGGAUAACCUACCUAUAAGACUGGGAUAACUUCGGGAAACCGGAGCUAAUACCGGAUAAUAUUUUGAACCGCAUGGUUCAAUAGUGAAAGACGGUCUUGCUGUCACUUAUAGAUGGAUCCGCGCCGCAUUAGCUAGUUGGUAAGGUAACGGCUUACCAAGGCAACGAUGCAUAGCCGACCUGAGAGGGUGAUCGGCCACACUGGAACUGAGACACGGUCCAGACUCCUACGGGAGGCAGCAGUAGGGAAUCUUCCGCAAUGGGCGAAAGCUUGACGGAGCAACGCCGCGUGAGUGAUGAAGGUCUUCGGAUCGUAAAACUCUGUUAUUAGGGAAGAACAUAUGUGUAAGUAACUGUGCACAUCUUGACGGUACCUAAUCAGAAAGCCACGGCUAACUACGUG